AUUAGGUGCAGAAUCACAAUUGUCCUUUCAAUCAUACAUAUUUGGUUCGUAACAUAUGGGGCAUAGAGUAAUUGGAGCAUAUCAGAAACGAAUGAAACGUUUUGGAGCAUAACAAUAACAUAUGAAACAUAUCGGAGCUUAUCAAUGGCAUAUGAAAUGUUCCGGAGCAUAUCAAUAGCGUAUGGAACAUUUCGAAGCAUAUCAACAAUGAAUGAAACAUUUCGGAGCUUAUCAAUAUCACAUACCAAACAGAAGCUCAAACGUCGUCUUUGACGUUGCAUUCAUAUUAUUCUUAUCCAAAGCAUGUACAAAAACA
Molecule: long non-coding RNA, 316 nt
Filed under: Musa acuminata (dwarf banana)
Lineage: Eukaryota; Viridiplantae; Streptophyta; Magnoliopsida; Zingiberales; Musaceae
Description: long non-coding RNA (MACU_LNC003377)
Source: RNAcentral